RNAcentral lists this long non-coding RNA (246 nucleotides) under Mytilus galloprovincialis (Mediterranean mussel). The record is from RNAcentral. Lineage: Eukaryota; Metazoa; Mollusca; Bivalvia; Mytilida; Mytilidae.
CAGUUGGUAGUAAAAGUGAAUAUACAUUGUAUAUUGUAUAAAACAAUGAUUUAAGUUGAUUCAACUACUAUUCUGGACAAAGAAAGAUAACUCCAAUUGAAAAUUUCUUGCUAUUGCGCAAUAUUGUGCAAUUAGAUAUUUCUUGCUAUUGCGCAAUAUUGUGCAAUUAGAUAUUUCUUGCUAUUGUGCAAUACUGUGCAAUUGAAAAUACUUGCUAUUGCACAAUACUGUGCAAUUGAAGAUUUC